AAGAAAAAUAUAGAACAACAAUGAAACAAUCUAUGGCAUAUACAUUCUUCUGGUGGCGCCUCUUACAACUCCAAAAGUCGUAAGGGAACUCAGUCGUGUGUAUAUACCUGCAUAGAAAAGAUAUAACCGUGAAAGGCUGUC
Regulatory RNA element from Bacteroides sp. CAG:714, 141 nucleotides. It matches the Rfam family "Bacteroidete tryptophan peptide leader RNA". The record is from Rfam. NCBI's taxonomy places the organism in Bacteria, Pseudomonadati, Bacteroidota, Bacteroidia, Bacteroidales, Bacteroidaceae.